This 56-nucleotide transfer RNA is filed under the name Dipodomys ordii (Ord's kangaroo rat). It matches the Rfam family "tRNA", at positions 10 to 63 of the family's 71-position model. From Rfam's summary of the family: Transfer RNA (tRNA) molecules are approximately 80 nucleotides in length. Their secondary structure includes four short double-helical elements and three loops (D, anti-codon, and T loops). Further hydrogen bonds mediate the characteristic L-shaped molecular structure. tRNAs have two regions of fundamental functional importance: the anti-codon, which is responsible for specific mRNA codon recognition, and the 3' end, to which the tRNAs corresponding amino acid is attached (by aminoacyl-tRNA synthetases). tRNAs cope with the degeneracy of the genetic code in two manners: having more than one tRNA (with a specific anti-codon) for a particular amino acid; and 'wobble' base-pairing, i.e. permitting non-standard base-pairing at the 3rd anti-codon position. The record is from Rfam by way of RNAcentral. Lineage: Eukaryota; Metazoa; Chordata; Mammalia; Rodentia; Heteromyidae.
GCUCAGUGGUAGAGUGCUUGCCUUGCAUGCAUGAGGCCCUGGGUUCGAAUCCUCAG